This 356-nucleotide ribosomal RNA is filed under the name uncultured soil bacterium. RNAcentral describes it as "bacterial SSU rRNA". It matches the Rfam family "Bacterial small subunit ribosomal RNA", at positions 27 to 380 of the family's 1533-position model. The record is from RNAcentral.
GGGACGAACGCUGGCGGCGUGCUUAACACAUGCAAGUCGAGCGGUAAGGCCUUUCGGGGUACACGAGCGGCGAACGGGUGAGUAACACGUGGGUGAUCUGCCCUGCACUCUGGGAUAAGCUUGGGAAACUGGGUCUAAUACCGGAUAUGACCACAGUGCGCAUGUGUUGUGGUGGAAAGAUUUAUCGGUGCAGGAUGGGCCCGCGGCCUAUCAGUCUUGUUGGUGGGUAAUGGCCUACCAAGGCGACGACGGGUAGCCGACUGAGAGGGUCGACCGGCCACACGUGGGACUGGAGACACCGGUCCAGACCUCCGUACGGGAGGCAGCAGGUGGGAAUAUGCACAAGUGGGACGGAA